UGAGGGAAAGUUGCAAAGAACUUUGAAGAGAGAGUUCAAGAGUACGUGAAACUGCUCAGGGGCAAACGGGUGGGCCCUCGAAUUCCCCCCGCGGAGAGAUUCAGUCCGGAGCGACAGGGGCGCGGCGGGAAACGGACCCUCGAGAAGGACGGUCCCCGCCGCGCGGUCCCGGUAGCGCCGGACGCACUUCUCCCCGCACCAGGGACGCCGCGACGGAUCGGGUAGCAGCGAGAGUCGGCCUUGCGGCGGACCCAGGCAGGUGGCCGGACGGUCGGGCCCAGUUCCCGGCCCCCGGUCAUUCACGGGACCGCACGUGGCGCGACACCCGAUCGAGGUCGGAGUCUCCCGCCCGGGAGACGUCCCCGUCUCCGUCCGAAACUCCGGGCGCGGUGCCCGGGCCAGUGAGCGCCGGCGACGCCGAACCACUCCAGUCAGUGGCCGGCGCGACGGCUGCCGCCGUUGGGCCCGGGUCGCACCGCAGGAGAGGCGAAGGAACGGUCGGCGGCGAGUAGGUCGGUCACCCACCCGUCCCGUCUUGAAACACGGACCAAGGAGUCUAACACGUGCGCGAGUCGCAGGGUCUUGAACAGGCCCGCGGGCGCAAUGAAAGUGAAGGUCCCCCCCGCGGGACCGAGCUGGGACUCCCGGACGAGAGUCCGGGAAGCACCAGCGACCCGUCCCGUCCGACCCGUCGGUGGGGCGGAGUCCGAGCGCACGCGUUGGCACCCGAAAGAUGGUGAACUAUGCCUGGGCAGAACGAAGCCAGAGGAAACUCUGGUGGAGGUUCGUAGCGGUUCUGACGUGCAAAUCGAUCGUCAGACCCGGG
This 826-nucleotide ribosomal RNA is filed under the name Mesabolivar sp. DNA100446398. Its description in RNAcentral is "eukaryotic LSU rRNA". It matches the Rfam family "Eukaryotic large subunit ribosomal RNA", at positions 354 to 915 of the family's 3401-position model. Lineage: Eukaryota; Metazoa; Arthropoda; Arachnida; Araneae; Pholcidae. The record is from RNAcentral.